CCCUCGAUAGCUCAGUUGGCACAGCGGAGGACUGUAGAUGUUACAACGGUGAUCCUUAGGUCGCUGGUUCAAAUCCGGCUCGAGGGA
This 87-nucleotide transfer RNA is filed under the name Cordylochernes scorpioides. RNAcentral's name for it is "tRNA-Tyr". It matches the Rfam family "tRNA". From Rfam's summary of the family: Transfer RNA (tRNA) molecules are approximately 80 nucleotides in length. Their secondary structure includes four short double-helical elements and three loops (D, anti-codon, and T loops). Lineage: Eukaryota; Metazoa; Arthropoda; Arachnida; Pseudoscorpiones; Chernetidae. The record is from RNAcentral.